RNAcentral lists this small nucleolar RNA (124 nucleotides) under Myotis brandtii (Brandt's bat). RNAcentral describes it as "Small nucleolar RNA SNORA44". It matches the Rfam family "Small nucleolar RNA SNORA44". From Rfam's summary of the family: ACA44 is a member of the H/ACA class of snoRNA that guide the sites of modification of uridines to pseudouridines. Lineage: Eukaryota; Metazoa; Chordata; Mammalia; Chiroptera; Vespertilionidae. The record is from Rfam by way of RNAcentral.
AAUGAUGUAUUUAACUGAAUAAAAAGAUGUUAUUUUUCCAACUGCAUGCAAGAGCAACCUGGAGAGACUUUGACAGCUCAGGUCAGCAUAAUACCUGCAGCUGCCACUCGCCUUUCCUAUAUCU